GCCUACGGGGGGCAGCAGUAGGGAAUUUUCGUCAAUGGGCGCAAGCCUGAACGAGCAAUGCCGCGUGAACGAGGAAGGUCUUCGGAUCGUAAAGUUCUGUUGAAGGGGAAAAAGAGCGGAGAGAGGAAAUGGUCUCCGAUUGAUAUUACCCUUCGAGGAAGUCACGGCUAACUACGUGCCAGCAGCCGCGGUAAUACGUAGGUGGCGAGCGUUAUCCGGAAUGAUUGGGCGUAAAGGGUGCGUAGGCGGCCUGCUAAGUCUGGAGUGAACGGUACCGGCUCAACCGGUACAGGCUCUGGAAACUG
This 305-nucleotide ribosomal RNA is filed under the name uncultured bacterium. Its description in RNAcentral is "bacterial SSU rRNA". It matches the Rfam family "Bacterial small subunit ribosomal RNA", at positions 337 to 635 of the family's 1533-position model. The record is from RNAcentral.